GGCUCUGUGGCGCAAUGGAUAGCGCAUUGGACUUCUAGACGAGUGAAGGCAUUCAAAGGUUGUGGGUUCGAGUCCCACCAGAGUCG
This 86-nucleotide transfer RNA is filed under the name Xenopus laevis (African clawed frog). It matches the Rfam family "tRNA". Rfam says of the family: Transfer RNA (tRNA) molecules are approximately 80 nucleotides in length. Their secondary structure includes four short double-helical elements and three loops (D, anti-codon, and T loops). Lineage: Eukaryota; Metazoa; Chordata; Amphibia; Anura; Pipidae. The record is from Rfam by way of RNAcentral.